This 451-nucleotide ribosomal RNA is filed under the name uncultured bacterium. RNAcentral describes it as "partial 16S ribosomal RNA". It matches the Rfam family "Bacterial small subunit ribosomal RNA", at positions 28 to 507 of the family's 1533-position model. The record is from RNAcentral.
AGCGAACGCUGGCGGCAUGCCUAACACAUGCAAGUCGCACGGGGGGGCUUCGGCCUCCCAGUGGCGGAUGGGUGAGGAACGCGUAGGGACCUGUCGAGGGGUGGGGGAUAACCGCGGGAAACUGCGGCUAAUACCGCAUGACGCCGCGGCGUGACAGCCGGGGCCAAAGGCGAAAGCCGCCCGCCGAGGGGCCUGCGUCCGAUUAGCUGGUUGGCGGGGUAGCGGCCCACCAAGGCGUCGAUCGGUAGCUGGUCUGAGAGGGUGAUCAGCCACACCGGGACUGAGACACGGCCCGGACUCCUACGGGAGGCAGCAGUGGGGAAUAUUGGACAAUGGGCGCAAGCCUGGUCCAGCAAUGCCGCGUGGGUGAAGAAGGUCUUCGGAUUGUAAAGCCCUUUCGGCGGGGACGAUGGUGACGGUACCCGCAGAAGAAGCCCCGGCUAACUUCGUG